UACGUAGGUCCCGAGCGUUGUCCGGAUUUAUUGGGCGUAAAGCGAGCGCAGGUGGUUUAUUAAGUCUGGUGUAAAAGGCAGUGGCUCAACCAUUGUAUGCAUUGGAAACUGGUAGACUUGAGUGCAGGAGAGGAGAGUGGAAUUCCAUGUGUAGCGGUGAAAUGCGUAGAUAUUAGGAGGAACACCAGUGGCGAAGGCGGCUUGCUGGACGAUGACUGACGUUGAGGCUCGAAAGCGUGGGGAGCAAACAGG
RNAcentral lists this ribosomal RNA (252 nucleotides) under uncultured bacterium. Its description in RNAcentral is "partial 16S ribosomal RNA". It matches the Rfam family "Bacterial small subunit ribosomal RNA", at positions 524 to 776 of the family's 1533-position model. The record is from RNAcentral.